UGGGCAAUUCAUUGUACACAUUGGAUCUUUGGAUAAUUGUAUGGUAUGUGAACAAGCUCAGUAAAAAAUAAAUAAAAAAAUAAGGGCAUGGAACAUGAAGAAAAAACAUGUUUGCUAUCGUGGCAUGUAUUAUUUUUAUUAUCAGCAAAAAAUUUUGGAAAAGAGAAAGAUCUGCAGAGCUUCUGUUGUUACACUGAGUAUAUGUCUGGCUCAAACUGGGUAGAAGCAGCUCUCCCAGAUGUGCUGGGGCAGGGCAUUUUUGGAAAGUCCCCACAUCCUGAAAUUAUAGAAAUUCCAUUCUAAUCCAGGGAGAUAGAAUAGCCUCUAGAAUAUUUAAGGUUAUAUUGAAGUACAUGUGCUAUGGUAACUUAAUUUUAUUCAUGGGCUAUUUCCUGAAUAUGUUCUAGAACCAUUUGUUCUUAGUUCUGUCUCAGUUUUGCCCUUCCUUUCUUUCAGAGGGGCACUUCACUAUAAUUUCUUCACGUGUGCACCUAGCAGAUGACUCCCGAAUCUGGACCUUUCUUCUGAGUGCUGGACCCACGAACCAAACGCCUUUGGAUGUUGAAUGCCCUUGAAUGCUCCAUAGGCACCUCAACAUCAUUGUCUCCUUCAACCUCAUCACCUUCCCUCCACUCCAAAUCAGCCUCUCCUCCUACUGUGUUCCCUAUCUCAGUAAAUUGUAUGACCAGUUUUCUAAGAAGCAAGUUAGAAGUCCUCCUUCUCCAUCAAAUCUUCAUCCUUUGUGCAAGACACUGUUUUAGACCUUGAGGAUAUAGAAGUAAAUAAGCCAUAGGCCCUUAAGCUUUGGAAAAUUAAAUACAGCUCCAGACUUCAGCCAACUCAUCUGACCAGCUUCCCAGACCUUUCCUUUCUAAAGGAGAAAAGGGCUGAAGCUAUGAUGACACCAUGGAUGUUCUGGAACCACAUUUGAAGCCGGAAUCCAAUGGAUAGAUCCAGCCCUGGCUUUUCACCUACAUUCAAGAUUCCCAUAUUCAACUGUCCUCUCAUCACCCCUACCUGGAUGCUUGACAGAUCAGUUACCACACAGGGAGAAGAGGAGUAGCUCUGAAGUGACCUCUCUGGUAUCUUGAAUCUGGAAAUAAUGCUAUGGCCUUGAUUCAUUUUGAUUCUGAUCUUGUG
Molecule: long non-coding RNA, 1140 nt
Organism: Choloepus didactylus (southern two-toed sloth)
Lineage: Eukaryota; Metazoa; Chordata; Mammalia; Pilosa; Megalonychidae
Exons: 3
Source: RefSeq, a predicted model, not a curated record